GAGCACUCUACUCAUUCCCUCAACGAGUUUUCGCUCAGCUGCGGCACGACUGACAUGGGCCACCCGAGCGUCCGCUGCUCUCUAAUCGCCGGUCGGCACAUCCUCCAAAGUGCAGGCGCAUACUGCACAGUGCACCGGGCACGAGUGCACUCUCUGUGCACUGUGUCGUGCAGUGUCGUGCACGCCGCGCCGCGCUGUGCAGCGGGACACACGCGUCUCGCGCGCGCCGGGACUGGUACGGCCUGGUACGGCGCCGUGCUGCCGUUCCCACGCAGAUGUCGACCAGUCUCCAAGGAUUGAGCAACGAGAGCAGAACGUCCGAACACGCCCGGCCGACCUGCAUUUUUCUUCUUCUCCGACGGCGCCCCGAUGUUCGCCCUCAGCCGAGGGUCGUGUCGCGAAUUAUUCACCGGAUCUGGAGCCGGUUUUUCUGGAAUUGGAGUGUGACCGAGCAAUUAGUGCACGAGCUGUGCACUAUAUCGCUGUGCACGCGGGGGCGGAGAGGGAUCACUGAUCGAAAAUCGGGAGAAACUUGCCGUGCAGCUUGCACGCAGGACACGCACAGGAUAGUCGAACUGCCUAACGGUUUAGUUGGCGGUCUCCUCCAGCAGAAGACAGUGACACAGAUGAGAACAACAAUCGAAAAGUCCAAGAAGGUUGAUAGCUGACGUAAAUAUAAAGGCAUACAUCCAUGGAAAAUGGGUUAUUACCUAAACACACCAGUAGUUCUUACACCAUGAUAUUCAAGAUUUAGAAUGCAAUAGCCGUUCUAUUAUUCAUAUGUAAUUCCUAUACAGUGAACUCUGAUGCACAUACAGUGACGCUUCAGUCACCUAUGCCAUAAGCACAUAUUCGCGGUAGCAGUGGAGACAUGAGCGUAAUCUCCAAGACCAUCUCCUUUGGGAACCUUAGGCUCUUGGAAACCGUAUUUCCCACACAUCUCAGAGCCUUUUCGGUACCGUGUGCGCCGGCCCAAUCUCGCCGGGUCGCCAGGGCCGGACCGAUCGUGCCGUGCUGACCGGCCGUGACCGGUACACGCUGGCCCGCCCAGUGCCGGUGACCGGAGGGGCGGGUGCCAGUUCCGGCGGAGUCACACUCGGACCACCAGCCACCGGAAGCCGGCCGGCAGCCGUGAAGGACGCGGCCUUUGAAGUCACGCCGACCGAGACCCAACCGGGGGGGGGGGGGGGGCACGUGACGGCUACCGGCCACUGACCUGCCUGAACCGGGAGGUCAGUUAUUAGUGCAUAAUUGACCCCGAACUUCGCGUUUUGCAACUUGUAGAUAUUCACCGCACAGAGUUGCGGGAUGAGGGAAAAUAAGCCACUCUAAUACUGACCAUGAAGUCGACUGUGCUCUACGUACGUUAUGUAUUGUUCUUAUUUUCUACCUACAAGUAAUACAUGAUAGUACGAUCGGAAA
Long non-coding RNA from Amphibalanus amphitrite, 1422 nucleotides. RefSeq lists it as uncharacterized. The transcript is spliced from 2 exons. NCBI's taxonomy places the organism in Eukaryota, Metazoa, Arthropoda, Thecostraca, Balanomorpha, Balanidae. The record is from RefSeq and is a predicted model, not a curated record.